Long non-coding RNA from Pungitius pungitius (ninespine stickleback), 365 nucleotides. RefSeq lists it as uncharacterized. The transcript has 3 exons. Lineage: Eukaryota; Metazoa; Chordata; Actinopteri; Perciformes; Gasterosteidae. The record is from RefSeq and is a predicted model, not a curated record.
AGUUGGGACUCACACCUGAGUGAGAUGGAGGGAUUCGGCCUCUCUGGACUGCUGCAAAGUAACCGGCGACAGAGUGAAGACCUGCAGCGUCCUGGUGGGGGUUUUCUGCUCUUUCAACCACUUGGAAUCCCCCGGGAUGACAAAACAUUUUGACCUUGUGUAGUUCGACGGAAUGUUUUGCCUCACAGAAGAUUCACGAACGUCAAAGGAGCCAAAAGGUCAGGAAUGCAGUUGCUCUCAGCGUGAAGUCAACUGUGGCGAAGUCUGUACAUUCUCAACACAGUCGGGAGUCCAGAGCCACCAGAGAGAGGCAGAGAAACCUCCAUCACACUCACCUGAACACACACACACACACACACACACAC